CCUACGGGAGGCAGCAGUGAGGAAUAUUGGUCAAUGGGCGCUAGCCUGAACCAGCCAAGUCGCGUGAAGGAUGACUGCCCUAUGGGUUGUAAACUUCUUUUAUAUGGGAAUAAAGUGCAGUAUGUGUCCUGCUUUGCAUGUACCUUAUGAAUAAGGAUCGGCUAACUCCGUGCCAGCAGCCGCGGUAAUACGGAGGAUCCGAGCGUUAUCCGGAUUUAUUGGGUUUAAAGGGAUCGUAGGCGGGUUGUAAAGUCAGUGGUGAAAGUUUGCGGGUCAACCGUAGAAUGGCAGUUGAUACUGGCAUCCUUGAGUGCAGUAGGGGUAGGCGGAAUGCGUGGUGUAGCGGUGAAAUGCUUAGAUAUCACGAAGAACUCCGAUUGCGAAGGCAGCCUGCUGGACUGUAACUGACGCUGAUGCUCGAAAGUGUGGGUAUCAAACAGGAUUAGAUACCCGUGUAGUC
This 460-nucleotide ribosomal RNA is filed under the name uncultured bacterium. Its description in RNAcentral is "partial 16S ribosomal RNA". It matches the Rfam family "Bacterial small subunit ribosomal RNA", at positions 338 to 795 of the family's 1533-position model. The record is from RNAcentral.